Molecule: ribosomal RNA, 422 nt
Filed under: uncultured bacterium
Lineage: Bacteria
Description: partial 16S ribosomal RNA
Rfam family: Bacterial small subunit ribosomal RNA
Source: RNAcentral
AAUUUUGGACAAUGGGGGAAACCCUGAUCCAGCCAUCCCGCGUGUGCGAUGAAGGCCUUCGGGUUGUAAAGCACUCUUGUCAGGGAAGAAAUCGUACAGGCGAAUAUCCUGUGCGGAUGACGGUACCUGAAGACUAAGCACCGGCUAACUACGUGCCAGCAGCCGCGGUAAUACGUAGGGUGCAAGCGUUAAUCGGAAUUACUGGGCGUAAAGGGUGCGCAGGCGGUUUAUCAAGAAAGGUGUGAAAUCCCCGGGCUUAACCUGGGAAUGGCACUUUUAACUGGUAGGCUAGGGUAUGUCAGAGGGGGGUAGGAUUCCACGUGUAGCAGUGAAAUGCGUAGAGUUGUGGAGGAAUACCGAUGGCGAAGGCAGCCCCCUGGGAUAAUACUGACGCUCAUGCACGAAAACGUGGGGAGCAAACA